CACCUGAGGUGUGUGGAAAUUCCCAGCCAGAGAUGGAAUCUGGGGUCUCCACAGAGACAAGCGGAGCAUUAACUCAUUGCACCACAGCAGGAAGUCCUACAUUGGAUUUUUGCAAUUUGAUCUUGUAUCUUGCAACCUUGCUCAGCUUAUUUAUUAGUCCCGAUAGUUUUUGUGGAUUCCUCGGGAUGUUCUAUACGCAGGUUCCUGUCAUCUGCAAAUAGAGAUAGAUUUAUUUCUUCCUUUCCAAACUGGAUGCUUUUUUUUUUUUUUUUUCCCUUGCUUAAUUGCCCUGGCUGGAGCCCCCAGACAAUGUUGAAGAGGCAGGAGUAGACAGGCUGGGCAUUCCCACAGUGCCGUGGCAGGUUAAGGAGCCAGCACUGUCUCUGCAGCGGUGUAGGUUUGGUCCCUGGUUCAGGGCAGUGGGUUAAAGGAUCAGGCAUUGCCGUAGCUCCAGCUCGGCUUCAAUCCCUGUGGGUGUGGCAAAAAAAAAAAAAAAAAAAAAAAAAAAAAAAAAAAAAAAAAAACAAGAAAGAAGAGACUAGAUACCCUUGUCUUAUUCUUGGUCUCGGGGGGAAUCUUUCAAUCUUUCCCAUUAAUAAUUAAACAUUAUGUAACUAACGGUGGAGUUUUGGUAGAUCCUUCUCAUCAGGUUGAGAAAAUUCCUUUCUGUUGAGAAAACUCCUUUCUAUUCCUGGUUUGUUGAGGGUGACGGAAUAGCUCGACCUAAAGUGGAGAGGUGUUCAGAGACAGGACAAUAUUUUCACUAAAUUGGGCAUCCGUAUGAAAAACAAAAACCAAAAACCCUCCAUCUCAACCUUACACCUCAUACUAAAGUUAACUCAAAAUGGAUCAUAUACCUAAAUGUAAAAAUAUAAACUUUCAGAAUGCAACAUAAAAGAAACCCUUCAUGACCUUGUGCCAGUCCAAAAAAAAAAAGACAGUAAAACACACUCUAAAGAUAAAUUGAUAAAAUGGACUUAAAAGUCAAAAACUUCUUCUCUGUAAAUGUAAAGUUUCAAGGAACAGUUAAUUCCUCCCUUAACAAGUUAUUGCAGAAAAUAAUUUCUGCAAAGUCUGUGGUGAGGCCACUGCAAUCUUGAUUCCAAAACAUAAUAAGGAAAAUACAAAGAAAAAGAAGGAGGAAAUUGUAGACCUGUCUCACUUCAAUCAUAGAUAUAAGCAGAUAAAGUUUAUAUAAAAAUUCAGCUAACCCCAACUGCAUAUUAAAAAGUUUGAGCAUUAUGACCAAAUUGGGCUUCUCACAGGAAUGCAAGGAUGGCUAAAGCUGAGAAAGGAGGCUGAUGUGUUCGUAUAACGAAACCAAUUGCAGUAAAGCAAGAGAGAAAAGUCACAUGAUUGUCUUGCUCAAUGAGGACAGAGCACUUGAUCGUGACUGUUCUAAAAAUUCUACCAAAGAUAUCAAUUUGGAGAUCAAGAAGCAUGAUCACCAAUGCGGGCUUGUAAGCAUUAAAAAGAUGGCCAAAAUUAAGCUACAGUCAUCACAGUACCUUUUUAAAUUUUUUUAGGCCCACACCCAUGGCAUAUGCAGGUUCCCAGGCUAGGGGUCAAACUGGAGCUGUGGCCGCUGGCCGACACCAUAGCCACAGCCAUGCCACAUCCGAGCCACGUCUGCAACCUACACCCCAACUCAUGGCAACAUCAGAUCUUGAACCCACUGAGUGAGGCCAGGGAUCGAACCUGCAUCCUCAUGGAUACUCGUCAGAUUUGUUUCCACCGAGCCAAGACGGGAACUCCCACAGUACCUUUUAAUACCAGCAACAACGGGCACUAAGUCUCUUCACACGGAACCCUUACUGGCUCUGCUCCUCUGCUUGAACCCUGAUGAACACAGGGUGAUAAAAGCAGUAUCAUAUUGGAGUUCCCUCUGUGGUGCAGGGGGAUGAGAACCUGGCGGCACCGGCUCGGGUUGUUGCAGAUGUACAGGUUCAAUCCCUAGCCCGGUGCAGUGGACUAAAGGAUCCAGUGUUGCCACAGCUUGGCUCAGAUUCAAUCCCUGGCUCGGGAACUUGCACGUGCUGCAGGUACGGCCAUAAUUUUCUUUUUUUUUUUUCCUUUUUGGCCGUUCGGCAGCAUGUCGAAUUCCCAAGCCAGGGAUUAUAUCUGAGCCACAGCUGCAACCUAAGCCACAGCUGCGGCAACACCGGAUCUUCAAAUCUAUGUUCCAGGCUGGGGAUCGAACCUGCAUCCCAGCACUCUGAAAAUGCUGCCAAGAUGCACCGCAGCGGGAACACCCAUCAUUGCUUUUAAUUAAAAAAAAAAAGGCAGUGUGAUAUCGGUCCUUGACCUGACCAGUGCACAGACAGGACUGAGCACGGAGAGAGUGUCCCCACAGAUGAACAAGGAAAGGAUGUUUGUGCACAGACAGGGUUGGACACGGACUCACUGAUGGAAGAGCCGGAUCCCCGCCUGGCAGCGCACGCAGAGGCGGACUCUGGAUCCCACGAAGACCCGAACGCUGAAGAAAAACCUGGCAGGAGGACAUGCAGGAGACUAGGAGAGAGGACAGGGGAGCAUGUCUCCAAAUUUAACUGCAAAAAGCAAGAGGCAAAACAUGAUGGAGUCAAUUAACUCAGAAUUUAAAUUCGCUGUUCCCCAAAGGGAAACCGUGAGCAAAAUGUCGGCCAGAUGACAGGACGGAGAAGACAUUUCUGAUGCGUAAAACCCUCGCGGGAUCCAUACCUCGGACGUGCGAGGAACUCUGGCCGAGCGGUUCCUGAUGGUCAGCAGCCCCCAAAGACCAGUGUUUGACGGGUAUGCCCAGCCAGUUACGGAAGAGGAGCCAACCAAGAAGAGCAUGCAAAGAUGCUCAAAUUCAGAGACUAAAGAAAUGCCACGUCAGCUGGGAGACCACUUCGUGCCUCUUCAACUGACACACCUGCCGAGGGCCACGCGGACCGAGAAGGCGGGCCCGGCGGGACGUGGGCUGGGCUUCCGGACUAAGCACAGGGCUCGCGGGUCUGCUCCAGGUGAACAAAGCCUUGCCCCGCAAGCCCACCCAAGGGCGGGGUCAUCUGUGACGGCAGAGAGGCGGGGGCAGCCUGGGGGUCCAUCUGGGGAAAUGGGCAGGAAAAUGUGGCGGAUUUGGGGUAUCUUCCCCUGGGUGGGAACGAUGAGCUGCACACAUGGCUCCGAGGACAGAGCUUUAAAACACAACCCAGACUGGGGACCAACCACGGACACUCGCCUUGAUUAGGCCCGUGCUUCCCAGACUGUGCGUUGAGACACGCAGCGGGCCAGAGAGGACUCUCAGGGGCACUAUAGGGUAUUUGAAAUGUUUGAGGGAAACAGAACAUGCCAGAGACCUUGUGAGCAACUCAACCGAGCUUAGAGUUUCAGUACUGGACCCCACGGCUCUCCUUUCUGGGUCAGGACUUUCAAAGCUGGAUUCAUAUGUGGAUCAGGCAGCUCAGGUGGAAGGGUCCAAUCUGAUUCAGGUUUGAAAAGGUUCUAGAGGCGUUCCCAUUGUGGAGCAGCAUAAAGGAAUCCAACUAGGAACCACAAGGUUGCAGGUUCGAUCCCUGGCCUCGCUCAGUGGGUUAAGGAUCUGAUGUUGCCACAGCUGUGGUGCAGGUCGCAGAGCGACUCAGAUUCAAUCCCUGGCCCAGAAGCUCUCGUAUGCCAUGGGUCCAGCAAAAAAAAAAAAAAAAAAAAAAAAA
This 3677-nucleotide long non-coding RNA is filed under the name Sus scrofa (pig). RNAcentral describes it as "lncRNA (ENSSSCG00000055300.1)". The record is from RNAcentral. Lineage: Eukaryota; Metazoa; Chordata; Mammalia; Artiodactyla; Suidae.